CAGUAGCCGCGGUAAUACGGAGGGUGCAAGCGUUAAUCGGAAUUACUGGGCGUAAAGCGCACGCAGGCGGUUUGUUAAGUCAGAUGUGAAAUCCCCGGGCUCAACCUGGGAACUGCAUUUGAAACUGGCAAGCUAGAGUCUCGUAGAGGGGGGUAGAAUUCCAGGUGUAGCGGUGAAAUGCGUAGAGAUCUGGAGGAAUACCGGUGGCGAAGGCGGCCCCCUGGACGAAGACUGACGCUCAGGUGCGAAAGCGUGGGGAGCAAACAGGAUUAGAUACCCCAGUAGUCCCUGUCUCUUAUAC
Molecule: ribosomal RNA, 301 nt
Filed under: uncultured bacterium
Lineage: Bacteria
Description: partial 16S ribosomal RNA
Rfam family: Bacterial small subunit ribosomal RNA
Source: RNAcentral